Molecule: RNA transcript, 6297 nt
Organism: Marmota monax (woodchuck)
Lineage: Eukaryota; Metazoa; Chordata; Mammalia; Rodentia; Sciuridae
Gene name: zinc finger protein 208-like
Exons: 2
Source: RefSeq, a predicted model, not a curated record
GGGAAGGGCGGGCUCUCACAAUCUCGCAUCUUUUUUUUUUCUCCCUUGCUGAACUCGUCCUCCACUGCUCCUGAGUCUUCUUACGGGAUCCCCAGGUGACCCUGCAUAGCCGGAGUCCUCACCAGCUCGGGUACCGGGAGAUCCUCAGGAGGUCAGCGAGUCAUGCUGAGCGUGUGGCCAGGACUGGCGGGACCCGGUCACCAUCUGCCUUGGGGACCCGAGUGCAUGAAGUAAACAGUACGAUCAGAACAUUGAAGAUCAGAGCAAAAACUCCAUGGAGGAAUCUAAGGUAAUUUUACUCAAAAGAGGAAGCAGGGUCCCUUGAGGGAAUUCUAGCACAUCCUAUAAGUUUACAUGCAAGGAAACAAAAGAAAUAGGCACAGUAUAGAAUUCUUAGCAAUUUUUCACCAGAAAUAUAAGCUUAAUGAAGAUAUAUAUUUAGUGUAUAAAGAAUAAUUGAUUUUCUGACAGUACUGAUACCACAUUCUUGAUACCACUGGUUUUGUUUUGAGGGGGUAACAGGGAUUGAACUCAGGGGCACUUGACCACUGAGCCACAUCCCCAGCCCUACUUCUUUUUAUUUGAUUUAGAGACAAGGUCUUAUUGAAUUGCUUGGCCCCUUGCUUUUGCUGAGGCUGGCUUUGACCUUGUGAUCCUCUUGCUUUAGCCUCCAGAGCCUUUGGAAUUACAGGCAUGCAUCACUGUUUUUUUAAUAGCUAUGCAAGCAAUUUUUCAACAUAAUCAAUUCAUUUACUCUGAAAUGAUUUGGACGUGACAAAAUCUGUGCUUUCUUUGGUAUUAUAAUAAUGAGAGUCUAAGAUCUAUUAAAGAAAAAAAAACAAUUAGAAAAACAAAAAUAAAUAUGUGCUUUUAAUUUUUCCAGAAGUCAUAUGACAGACUCUACCAAAAUUAAAACAGAUAUUCAUUGUGGAAAACCCUUUAGUGAGAUCCGAAAUCUUAACCUAAAAAAAGACAUAUCUGCUUGAGUAAAUCAGUGUGAGUGCAGUGUAUUUGGAAAUGUCUUCAUAUUUUCCAUUCUUUUUUUUGGAGGUGGGGGUGCUAGAAAUUUUACUCGGGCACUCACACUAAGCUACAUCCUCAGCCCUAUUUUGUAUUUUAUUUAGAGACAGGGUCUUGGGGAGUUGCUUAGUGCCUCACUUUUUGUUGAGACUGGAUUUGAACUUGAGAUAAUCAUGUCUCAGCCUCCUGAGCUGCUGGGAUUACAGGCUUGGGCCACCGCACCAGGCUCUAUUAUUUCUUAAUAGGCACAUCAUAUUUCAGUCUGCUUAUAAACCAGAUGAACAUGAGAAGUGUGGUGGGAAGACAUAUGAACCUCAGCAGUACAGAAAACCCUCAUUUCUCUCCCAAGUAUUCAAAGGAAGUGAUGAAGCACACUAGAAAUGGACCUUAUGAAUGUGUAUGUAGGAAAGGGUUCAGUUGUUCCCAGAGUUUUCAAAACAUGAACCAUCUCACACUGGAUUAGAGUCCUAGGAAUGUAAGCUAUGUGGAAAAGCCUUUGCUUACUUCAGUUCCAUUUGAAAACACCUACUGGAGAAAAUCCCUAUGAAUGUUAACAGUGUUGGGAAAGCCCUCACUAUUUCUGAUUAUCCCCAACUGCAAUGCAACCAGUGUGGUACAUCCAGUUCCCUUCCAACAGUUGGAUCAAUUCAUACCAGAGAGAAGCAAGAUUGUCAAGAUUGUGGGAAGCCUUCCCUGUUUCUGUUCAUCUUCACUCACAUAAAAGUACUCAUAUUGGAGAGAAACCUUACGAAGGUAAACAGUGGGAUAAAUCAUUUACAGUUCUUACCUGACAGUACAUCGAAUAACUGAGAAGCCCUAUGAAUGUAAACAGUGUGGUCACCUUCAUGCACAUGAACAAACUCAGACGGAAAGAAGGCCUAUGAAUGCAAAGAACGUGGAAAAGCCUGGAGUUGGCCCUCUCACCUUCAAAAGCAGAAACAACUCAUAUGAUUGUGAACAGAGUGGCACAGCCUUCACUUAAAGUCAUGCUCAGAAAACAUCAAACAACUCAUACUGGAGAGAAGCACUGUGGAUGAAAACAAUGGGAAAUGCCUCCCAUUACUGGAGCUUCCUUUUAAAUAUGAAAGACAUUGUGCUUGAAAAAAGCCAUUGAAUGUAGAAAAAAAAAUGUGGCAAAUGAUCUGAUACUUCCAAUCACCUUCAGAGUCAUGAAAGGGCUCACAUGAGAGAAAACCUCUUUGAGUGUAAACAAUAGUUGGUAAGUCAUUGAGUGUUCUCAGUCGCCUUCAAAGCCAUUUCAUUAACUCUGGUAAACAAAACUGAAUGUGUGUUGGUUCCUUUUCCUUCCUCUGCACGGAUUUCUUAUUAUGGAAAGAAGCCCUGAGAAUGUGAGGAAUAUGGGAAGUGUCCAGUUUUCCCAGGUUUUUGUUAUGAUAUCUGGUGCAGGUGUCCAAUGUUCCAAUUCUCCUCAUUUGUUCACUUUCUACCCCUGUGACAAAAUACAUGAGAAAAAUCAACUUAAGGAAGGAAAGAUUUAUUUUGGCUCACUUGAUCAUAGGUUUCUGUCCAUAAUUGAGUGGCCCCAUUGCUCUGGGAAAUGGACCAUCAUGGUGGAAGCGCAGAGCAGAGCUCAUGGCACCCAGAAGGGGAAAGAGAGAGGGAGUAAUGGGCCACCAACCACAUAUAGCCUUCAAAGUCAUGUCUGAGUAGUCCACCUGCUGCAAGUAGACAUCCCCUCCUAGUGUCCUCCUCCCACAGCACCACCAGCUGGGGACCCAGCCUCCAGCACAUGUGGCUUUGGGGGACAUUCCAGGUCCAUCCAUGCUACAGCACUUGAGUUACAUGAAAGAACUCAUGCAGGGCAGUGCCUAGGAGUACAGAAUGUGAAGAGUAUCCCAUCUUUUCAGUUUCCUUCAAAGACAAAUCAGGACUCACAUUAGAGAAAUGCCUGAUGACUAAGAAAUCUGGUAAUGCUUUCAAUUUUCCAGUUUUCUUUGAAAAGAAGGAAGGAUUCACGUGUGGUAAUGAAAUGUGGUAAAUGAAUGAAGAAAUGCCUCCAGGCCUUCAGUUGUUCUAGGUCCAUUCAGACACACAGAAUUCAUUAGUGAGAGAAAGACGAGGAGUGCAUGGAAAGUGGGAAUGCCUUCAUCUCCCUGUGACAUUCAGAGGUGCAGGAUGAUGCAUCCAAAAGAUGUGCGUGUUAGCUCGACUUUAAGGUGUGAAAACACAUCGAUUUUCUGGGUUAAAUCUCUCAUCUUGCAUUGUAGGUCUUUCUAUUUAUAGUUUUCUAUCGUUUUGUUGAGAAUUUUUGUAUCUAUAGGCAAAAAAAAAUUUGUACACUAAUAUGUAGCAUAGAAGUAUCUAGUACAUAGAAUAUAUGUAUGUGCAUAUAUCUGUGUGUAUGCUAUAUAGGAUCAGUACAGUUUUGUAAGUAAAUAGUGUGUAUUAUAUAUACUAUUUUAUAAGAUAAUGUAAUUAAGCACCAUGUGCAUUAUCUAGGAUUUUAUGGCAUCAUAGUAUAGUAUUAAAUUCUUAUUGAUCCAUAGUAUCAGGUAUUUCAGUUUCCUCCUACCAGCCCUAUCCCAAACCACAUAAUUUUGAGGGAACCAAGAGCACCUCACUUUGAUGAUACUACAAAGCUUUGCCCCUUGCCCCUUAUUACAUCAGCAAUCAAGUGCAAUCCCUCUGUGGGCCUGGAUGGCUUCCUGUGCCCUCCUCUGCUUAACUCUGUGUUUCCAUUUUUCUUAUGUGUCCAGUGGGGGUGUUACAUGUUUGUCGAAGUCACCCUGGGUGCUAAUUCAUUUGUAGGUAGUGGUGUGAAUGGGAGGCUGUUAGAAACCUUUACAGCAUAAACAGAAUGGAGUGAACAUGAAUAAAAACAGCUGCUCAGCUUUUACUAAUUGCUCUUGGUGACUGGUUCCACGGCACAAUGAAACCACCUGAGUAGCACCUGCACUUUUUGAUGGGUUUGACCUUGGUCUGCCCACAGUUACUGAUUUGUACCUGGUGUUGCCAUUUCUCCCCUCACAUGAGUACUCACAUCCCCUACACAUAAUGGUUCACUGGCUUUACCCACUGAAUGCCUUCCUCCCUCAAGGCAGUGAAAGAAUAGCUACCCAACAAGUGCUUUAGUCCUGAUUAACAAGAAACAGGCUAAAGCUCUGUGGACCCUGCAUUUAAUUUGGGAACCAUCACUAAUUGCUUGGGAUACUCCUGGGAGAGACUCAGGGAUGGUCUUUUGUGAAAUUCGAGAAAGAAGGGGAUACUCACCUUGAGAACAAUUAAGUACAUCACCUAGUUUCUCAAAGUUGUUUUCAUGGAGCAGGCAAGAGUAGGGGCCUUGCUUGUCUCUCGUGUGCUAAUUACCUUACAGCCCUGUGCACCCUUCUGUUGAGGGGCACAUCCAUGAUGCUUGAUGGUCCAAGUGCUGAUAGGUAAUGCAUGAGGCAUUAGCUCCUCGUGAAACCUGGGAGGAGUAUCUCAACCAUUCAUGCUUCGGAAAACCCCUCACCAGUGUGUGAGUUUUCCUUAGCACUAAUGCUUGUCAGCAUGCUAAAGUCUCAUGGAAGAAGGUUUUCUGGCCUUAGAAAAAUGACUUACUGCAAGUGGGUAUUAACCCACACAGAAAUAAGUCUCAUUACCCGAAGGCUGAAGUGGUGUCUUCCAGUGUGGGUUACUGGGCUUCUGAACUCUUCACCUUAGCCACACAUGAGCACUAGCAGUGAUCAGAUGGAGUCAGUACUGGGGAAACCUGCAAGUUUGCAUCAGUGGAAAUCCAAAACGUCAUAAAUCCCUGUGGGUAGGGAAGGGAAAAGUGUCAUGUGCAGUGAUCAGAUCUAGGAACCCAGCACCUGAUGGCUUGGCUCCCCAAGACCCAGCAGUUGUACUGCCACAGUCACUACUGCCUGUGCCUCUGUCUCAACAAGUGUCCUAGUUCCUGUGUGAAGGGUGUAGAUGGCUAUUUAGAUAUCUUGGACCAAUGCAGUUGUCCCUUGUAGUUCUUAAGAGAAAACAUAGAGGUGAUGAGUAUGUAACUCCACAAUGGAUCCCUUGCUUUACAUGGGAGAGGAACCUGUGUUCAAUCCCCAGUACUGCACAACAGCAAAACAACAAUAAAAGAGCAACUGUAGCUGAGUGUAGUGACACACACCUACAUGUCAGCAGAUAGUGACCCCGAGGCAGGAGGAUAGCGAGUAGAAAGCCAGCGUCAGCAAAUUAGUUAGACCCUAAGCAAUUCAGCAAGACCCUUUCUCAAAAAGUUAAAAAAAAAAAAAGGACUGGGGAUGUGGUUCAGUUAUUAGACACCCCUGGGUUCAAUCCCCAGUACCAAAGGAAAACACACACACACACUUACACACACACACAUACACACACUCACAUACAUAUACACACACACACACACACACAAAAAAAAAAACCAAGCAAAUAAAAUAAGCAACUAUAAAAUGUGUGAUGGAGAAUGAAGACCAAUCCCAUAAAGUCAGUGGCCGAACUUCUUGCAUCUUGGAAAAGAUGAAAAGGAAGGCAAAACACAAGAGGUUAAGGACAUGAGAAGCUUAUGGGUGGCUAUAGGGGGCAUUGGCCUGGGGUCAGCCUGGUUGAUUGGGCCUUGUUUUAGUCAGUUUUUUGUCAGCUGUGACUAAAAGACCUGUCAAGAACAAUGCUGAGGGGGGAUUGUUUGUCCCAGGCACAGUUUCAGAGGUCUCAGUUCAUAGACAUUCCUGUCCAUUGCCCUGGGACCAAGGUGAAGUAGGACAUCUAACAGAAUGGAUGACCGAAGAAAGCAGCUCCAGACAUGGCAACAGAAAGCAGAAAUAGAGCUCUGCUUACCAAAAAUAAACGUAAAUCCUGCAGGAAAGCCCCCAGUGAGCCAGCUCCCCCAGCCACACCUCACAUGCUUGCAGUCACCAAGAGUUCAUCCACUCAAGUGGGUCGAUGCUCUGCUUGGGUUACACACAUGCUAGGCAAGUGCACUAUCACUGAGCCCCAGCCCCAGCCUCUUGAUGACAAUUCUUAGCCUAAAAAAUAAGAGAGGGAAGUGGAAAAGGAAAGCAGGAAGGAAGCCAUAAGUAGGAAAGAGGUGGAGAGGAAUUAAGUGUGAGCAGAUUUUUGUAAGGAAAAUUGAAAUUGAUGAAUACAGAAGACUGUUGUGUGGUGAAAUAAGACUCUUUCUCUUGAAGUAGAAUGUCGGAUUGUUCCUCAAUGGGCAGGAAGCAGUAAGAGUCAAAACUGCUGACGUAUGCACAUUGUAGGUGUAAAAAUGUUAUGACACUUGAUGUGUCCUUCAGAAUUCAUUAAAAAUUUUGAAGCAAAGUU